GGCUGGUUAGCUCAGUGGUUUGAGCGCGGUGCUGACAACAAUGACAACACCGAAGUCGUGGGUUCGAUUCCCGCUUGGUCU
RNAcentral lists this transfer RNA (81 nucleotides) under Apaloderma vittatum (bar-tailed trogon). It matches the Rfam family "tRNA". Rfam says of the family: Transfer RNA (tRNA) molecules are approximately 80 nucleotides in length. Their secondary structure includes four short double-helical elements and three loops (D, anti-codon, and T loops). Lineage: Eukaryota; Metazoa; Chordata; Aves; Trogoniformes; Trogonidae. The record is from Rfam by way of RNAcentral.